RNAcentral lists this ribosomal RNA (1164 nucleotides) under Salmonella enterica. RNAcentral's name for it is "partial 23S ribosomal RNA". It matches the Rfam family "Bacterial large subunit ribosomal RNA", at positions 1 to 1094 of the family's 2925-position model. The record is from RNAcentral. Lineage: Bacteria; Pseudomonadati; Pseudomonadota; Gammaproteobacteria; Enterobacterales; Enterobacteriaceae.
GGGUUGUGAGGUUAAGCGACUAAGCGUACACGGUGGAUGCCCUGGCAGUCAGAGGCGAUGAAGGGCGUGCUAAUCUGCGAUAAGCGCCGGUAAGGUGAUAUGAACCGUUAUAACCGGCGAUACCCGAAUGGGGAAACCCAGUGUGACUCGUCACACUAUCAUUAACUGAAUCCAUAGGUUAAUGAGGCGAACCGGGGGAACUGAAACAUCUAAGUACCCCGAGGAAAAGAAAUCAACCGAGAUUCCCCCAGUAGCGGCGAGCGAACGGGGAGGAGCCCAGAGCCUGAAUCAGCAUGUGUGUUAGUGGAAGCGUCUGGAAAGGCGCGCGAUACAGGGUGACAGCCCCGUACACAAAAGCGCAUGUGCUGUGAGCUCGAUGAGUAGGGCGGGACACGUGGUAUCCUGUCUGAAUAUGGGGGGACCAUCCUCCAAGGCUAAAUACUCCUGACUGACCGAUAGUGAACCAGUACCGUGAGGGAAAGGCGAAAAGAACCCCGGCGAGGGGAGUGAAAAAGAACCUGAAACCGUGUACGUACAAGCAGUGGGAGCCCCACCACCAAAGCAUUCUCUGGUGUUGAAGGCCCUGCAAAGCAGCAUCGCGGUGGCGGAGCGUCGUUUGCGACGCCCAACACACAAAACAAGCGGUGAGUGCUUUGGGGUGGGGUGACUGCGUACCUUUUGUAUAAUGGGUCAGCGACUUAUAUUCUGUAGCAAGGUUAACCGUAUAGGGGAGCCGUAGGGAAACCGAGUCUUAACCGGGCGUUAAGUUGCAGGGUAUAGACCCGAAACCCGGUGAUCUAGCCAUGGGCAGGUUGAAGGUUGGGUAACACUAACUGGAGGACCGAACCGACUAAUGUUGAAAAAUUAGCGGAUGACUUGUGGCUGGGGGUGAAAGGCCAAUCAAACCGGGAGAUAGCUGGUUCUCCCCGAAAGCUAUUUAGGUAGCGCCUCGUGAAUUCAUCUUCGGGGGUAGAGCACUGUUUCGGCUAGGGGGUCAUCCCGACUUACCAACCCGAUGCAAACUGCGAAUACCGGAGAAUGUUAUCACGGGAGACACACGGCGGGUGCUAACGUCCGUCGUGAAGAGGGAAACAACCCAGACCGCCAGCUAAGGUCCCAAAGUCAUGGUUAAGUGGGAAACGAUGUGGGAAGGCCCAGACAGCC